GAGUUUGAUCCUGGCUCAGGACGAACGCUGGCGGCACGCCUAACACAUGCAAGUCGAACGGAGAUAUUUUGGUUUACUGAGAUAUCUUAGUGGCGGACGGGUGAGUAACACGUGAGCAACCUGCCUCUGAGAGAGGGAUAGCUUCUGGAAACGGAUGGUAAUACCUCAUAACAUAACGAAGCCGCAUGACUUUGUUAUCAAAGAUUUAUCACUCAGAGAUGGGCUCGCGUCUGAUUAGAUAGUUGGUGAGGUAACGGCUCACCAAGUCGACGAUCAGUAGCCGGACUGAGAGGUUGAACGGCCACAUUGGGACUGAGACACGGCCCAGACUCCUACGGGAGGCAGCAGUGGGGAAUAUUGCACAAUGGGGGAAACCCUGAUGCAGCGAUGCCGCGUGGAGGAAGAAGGUUUUCGGAUUGUAAACUCCUGUCUUAAAGGACGAUAAUGACGGUACUUUAGGAGGAAGCUCCGGCUAACUACGUGCCAGCAGCCGCGGUAAUACGUAGGGAGCGAGCGUUGUCCGGAAUUACUGGGUGUAAAGGGAGCGUAGGCGGGAUGGCAAGUCAGAUGUGAAAACUAUGGGCUCAACCCAUAGACUGCAUUUGAAACUGUUGUUCUUGAGUGAAGUAGAGGUAAGCGGAAUUCCUGGUGUAGCGGUGAAAWGCGUAGAUAUCAGGAGGAACWUCGGUGGCGAAAGCGGCUUACUGGGCUUUUACUGACGCURAGCUCGAAAGCGUGGGGAGCAAMCAGGAUUAGAUACCCUGAUAGUCCACGCUGUAAACRAUGAUUACUAGGUGUGGGGGGACUGACCCCUUYCGUGCCSAKUUAACWMAAUARUUAUCCACWCUGGGGAGU
Molecule: ribosomal RNA, 855 nt
Filed under: uncultured Bacillota bacterium
Lineage: Bacteria; Bacillati; Bacillota
Description: bacterial SSU rRNA
Source: RNAcentral